RNAcentral lists this long non-coding RNA (459 nucleotides) under Erythranthe guttata (spotted monkey flower). RNAcentral's name for it is "long non-coding RNA (EGUT_LNC003366)". Lineage: Eukaryota; Viridiplantae; Streptophyta; Magnoliopsida; Lamiales; Phrymaceae. The record is from RNAcentral.
UAUACAGUGGCGGAUCCAGGAUUUUUGCCAAGGGGGUGCUAAAUUGUUGAAUAAAAAAUUUAAAUAUCACUUUAUAAAAAUAGUGGACCAAAAAUUUACAAUUUAGGUGAAUUGUGUAAAUAUUUAAAGAGAAAAUGGACCAAAAAUUUACAAUUUAAAAAGUUUAGGUGAAUUGUGUAAAUAUUUAAAGAGAAAAUGGACCAAAAAUUUACAAUUUAAAAAUCUUAGGUGAAUUGUGUAAAUAUUUAAAGAGAAAAAUGGUGAAAAAUGUAAAGAUUUGAAAAAAAAUCAACUUUUUAGAGGCUGGGGGUUCGAACCCGGGACCAAUUAACAAAAGAAGGAACAUCUUUACCAACUCAACCAAAUACUUUUCUUGUCAACUUAUGUAUAACGGUAUUAUUUGUUUAAAAUCAAGGGUGUGCAACUGCACACCCUAGACCAUAGCUAGAUCCGCCACUG